Molecule: long non-coding RNA, 1234 nt
Filed under: Rosa chinensis
Lineage: Eukaryota; Viridiplantae; Streptophyta; Magnoliopsida; Rosales; Rosaceae
Description: sRNA RchiOBHm_Chr6g0245451
Source: RNAcentral
CUCUGAGAGCGACAGUGAUCGAGAGAGAGAGAGAGAGAGAGCAAUUCUGAGAGCGAAAAAUAAUAGAGAUUUGGAUUUGUUUUGGAAGAGGUCUGAUUUCAGUUGAUCGAGAGGGAGAGACAGAAACACUGAGAGAGAAGUAGAGAUCCAUAGCAAGAUUUGGAUCAAAUUUGGAUCCAUAUUAAUCCAAGAUUGUGGUGUUUUGAUAGAAAGAGAAGUAAGAGUGUUUGGUUUCAAUUAUCUUCAAUCUGUUGUGUUGGUGGGUUUCGGGAGAGUGAGGAUUGCAGAUUAUAUGCAAAAAACUUUUGGCAACAUUUUUCUGCGGCUGUCCCUUUGUCUGCUGCUCAAUAUUAUCUUGGCUUUGAAUUGUUAUUCAGAUUUGGGUAAUUUUUUUUUGUCAUGCAUUAUCUGAUUUAAAGAGAUUGUUAGACUGCUGGAUUUUGCUUUGUAAAGAGGUUGUGUAUUACUGAUUUAACAAUCACUCUAGAAGAUAGGUGGUAAUUAUAGAAAUCAAUAUUGAUAUUUGCUUUAUCUAUAUAUUCUGCCGUGUGUUUGUACUCAUGAUAAUGAACUGCAAAUAUAGUUGAACACUGUUAUAUGGUAGAAUGAAUCGUAGAGUUUGUCAAUUAUUGUGAAUUAAUGAAGAAAAGCGAUUGUUCUAUGAGCUGUAUUGUUUUAAGAAAGGUCAUGUCGAUUCAUAAUACUUGAGACAGAUGACAGCCACCAAGGGAGAAAAAGUUAACAACGAAAAUAAAACCAGGGAUAAUGAAGAGAUUAAUGGUAUUUAAAUAGUGAGGUCUAAAUGUUUUUGGCUUUUUAAAGGUGUGUGAUUUUAGAGACAGCAAAGAUUUACAAUGUAAAGAAUGUGAGGGAGUCUGUUGGUAUUUUUUGUUUCUGUUGGUAAACAAACAGCAAAUUUAGUACUGUGGUUAACUAUUUACAGAGAAUAGUAUAUAGUAUAUGACAACAUCUUCAUUGCUCAAGAGGUUCUACGCAGAUACAGAAGAUCAAAAGGAAAGAUGGGCUACAUUGCUUGGAAAGUAAUUUUGUUUUCAACAUUUUCUAGAGAUCUGUCUCUCAAUUUGUAUUAGAUCUUUUGUAAUGUCAAGAAAGUGUUGUGCAGGGUUUGCUAAUUGAAUUGUAUAAGAUUAAGGAUUCCGCCAAUGGGUUACUUAAUAAUAUUUUCUUCAUCUUCUAAAAGUAUUCAUUUCAAACAGUUCCUAUUGUUAUUAAG